This 1084-nucleotide long non-coding RNA is filed under the name Homo sapiens (human). RNAcentral describes it as "HSALNT0380462". Lineage: Eukaryota; Metazoa; Chordata; Mammalia; Primates; Hominidae. The record is from RNAcentral.
CACCACUCUGCAGGAAGGGGCUGAGGUGGGGUAAGAGAGGAGAAACAAGACAGAAGGUGGUACCAGAGAAGGAGUCAGCUCCCCAGGGCCUGGAAUCUGCAGUGUUGCCACCACUAGGACCUGGGAUGCAGGAGGCACUCUGACCGGUGGCAUCCAGAAAGUAAGGAAUAUGGACUAAAGGGAGGGCCAAGGAAAAGUUUACAGGCUGUGGCUGUGCAGUUGGAAGAUGCAGAAGCGCCUCGCUUGGUGCUGCCAGCACUUUGGGAGGCCCAGGCGGAUGGAUCACCUGAUGUCAGGAGUUCGAGACCAGACUGACCAACACGGAGAAACCCCGUCUCUACUAAAAAUACAAAAUUAGCUGGGUGUGGUGGUGCAUGCCUGUAACCCCAGCUACUUGGGAGGCUGAGGCAGGAGAAUCACUUGAACCCAGGAGGCAGAGGUUGCAGUGAGCCGAGAUUGUGCCAUUGCACUCCAGCCUGGGCAACAAGAGUGAAACUCCAUCUCAAAAAAAAAAAAAAAAAAAGUAUACCAUUUGACAAUCCUAGGCAUAUACCCAAGAGAAAUGAAAACACGUAUCCUUACGAAAACCCUUCCACAAAUGUUGAUAGCGGCAUUAUUCAGAGUAGCUGAAAAGUGGAAUCAACCAAAUGUCCAUCAACUGAUGAAUGGAGAAAUAAAACGCAGUAUAUCCACACAAUGGAAUGUUAUUUGGCAAUAAAAAGAAAUAAAGUACCGAUACAUGCUUCAAUGUGGCUAAACCUUGAAAGCAUUAUGUGAGUGAAGGAAGCCAGGCACCAAAGACCAUGUGUUAUAUAAUUCCAUCUAAAUAAAAUAUCCAGAAGGUGCAAUUUCAUAGAGACAGAAAGUAGAUGAUUAGUUGGCUAAGGCUGGGAGGAAUGGAAGAAUCGAGGGUGACUGUUAAUAUGUAUGGAGUUCCUUUUUAGGGGUGAAAAAACGUUCUGAAAUUAGAUCGUGGUGAUGGUUGUGCAAUUCUGUGAAUAUAUUAAAAGCUAUUGAAUCGUGCCCUUAAAUGGGUGAAUUGUAUAGUAUGUGAAUUAUAGCUCAAUAAAGCUGUUUUCAAAAA